GCACUGAAGCGGGGGUACCGCGGCGGCUUGCGCCGGCGGUUGAGACAGUCCCUUCGAACCUGAUGCGGUUGACACCGCCGUAGGGAAGCUUCGCAAGACCCGGC
This 104-nucleotide non-coding RNA is filed under the name Lysobacter gummosus. RNAcentral describes it as "TPP sequence". It matches the Rfam family "TPP riboswitch aptamer (THI element)". Rfam says of the family: Vitamin B(1) in its active form thiamin pyrophosphate (TPP) is an essential coenzyme that is synthesised by coupling of pyrimidine and thiazole moieties in bacteria. The previously detected thiamin-regulatory element, thi box was extended, resulting in a new, highly conserved RNA secondary structure, the THI element, which is widely distributed in eubacteria and also occurs in some archaea. The record is from RNAcentral. Lineage: Bacteria; Pseudomonadati; Pseudomonadota; Gammaproteobacteria; Lysobacterales; Lysobacteraceae.